UUUGGAAUGACUGUACCAGUCACACUGAAGCUCCUAUUCAAUAACUUAUACCAUGGUCUGUCUGGAUAUUCUGAUUGGCUGGCAGGUUCUGAGUUUAUGUCAGAAGUGUAACUGGCCUUCUUCCAGUUGUUGGCUACAUUCUGAAAAGAUGCUGGAAAAAGAAAUGCAGAAUUCUUGCUCUGUGUCGGGUCCACCCUUUCUCUGGCUGUGGUGCCUCCAUUGUCCUAACACUCUUCAGCAACCUGUCAAGGUCUUUAUAUGGUGGCCACCUGGAGUAGCCAUCUGCAUACCAGGACUUGGCAGCUGGUCCAGUCGUCCCUUCUCCCUCAAACUCCAC
Long non-coding RNA from Carassius auratus (goldfish), 337 nucleotides. RefSeq lists it as uncharacterized. The transcript has 3 exons. The record is from RefSeq and is a predicted model, not a curated record. NCBI's taxonomy places the organism in Eukaryota, Metazoa, Chordata, Actinopteri, Cypriniformes, Cyprinidae.